GGGACUCCUACCAUAUGCUACUGCACUUUGAUACUCGGAAGUCUCACGACCACUCAGUGACUUGGAUUUUUCAAGUUUCCAAACGAGAAGUUUUCCUCACUCGGGAAAUUAAGGGAGCACUACCUCAACCUAUAUGCUUCACUCACAAAACCUCAACAUACAUGCUUCACUCUCAAAGCUUCAACAUACAAGCUUCAACAAAAGAAAAAAUUCAAAGAACUUAGUGAAGAAGGCCUUGGUGUAUUUA
Molecule: long non-coding RNA, 247 nt
Filed under: Malus domestica (apple)
Lineage: Eukaryota; Viridiplantae; Streptophyta; Magnoliopsida; Rosales; Rosaceae
Description: long non-coding RNA (MDOM_LNC014145)
Source: RNAcentral